This 28-nucleotide non-coding RNA is filed under the name Mus musculus (house mouse). The record is from RNAcentral. Lineage: Eukaryota; Metazoa; Chordata; Mammalia; Rodentia; Muridae.
UCCGGCGCGUGUCUGAGAAUAAGUGCAC